GUAGAGAUGGCUCAUCAGUUAAGAGCACUGACUUGUUCCAGAAGACCUGGGUUCAAUUCCCAGCACCUACA
RNAcentral lists this transfer RNA (71 nucleotides) under Mesocricetus auratus (golden hamster). It matches the Rfam family "tRNA". Rfam says of the family: Transfer RNA (tRNA) molecules are approximately 80 nucleotides in length. The record is from Rfam by way of RNAcentral. Lineage: Eukaryota; Metazoa; Chordata; Mammalia; Rodentia; Cricetidae.